GGGAAUGUGGCUUAGUGGUAGAGUGCUUGCCUAGCCUGCAGGAAGCCCUGGGUUCAAUUCCCCAGUACCA
This 70-nucleotide transfer RNA is filed under the name Dipodomys ordii (Ord's kangaroo rat). It matches the Rfam family "tRNA". Rfam says of the family: Transfer RNA (tRNA) molecules are approximately 80 nucleotides in length. Their secondary structure includes four short double-helical elements and three loops (D, anti-codon, and T loops). The record is from Rfam by way of RNAcentral. Lineage: Eukaryota; Metazoa; Chordata; Mammalia; Rodentia; Heteromyidae.